GAAGUAGAAUUAAUGUCAACUGUAUAAGCACCUCUUAUAUCAUAUUACUUCACACACAAAGCACUGUGAUCGCUUCAUACGUCUUAGCGUUGGCCAGGUAAAUACACCGGUAACUAGGACUCUCUACCUGUAAACACAUGGAAGCUUCGACUGGAAGAGCAGACAAACCAACAGUAUUACAGGGGGGUAACUACGUAGCGUGUUCCUUGCCGGAAGUUACAGCCCAAGCUAUGUGUACAUACGUGGAGGGAACAGGACAUUCCGUGUUAGAAGAUGAAUGCUGAUCAAUAAGGAUGAACAGUAUUUCAUCAUGAGAUAGCGGCUUUCACCAGGUGAGUGUCCCCAUCACAAAUGGCAGAAAAGGCUUCCUCUUUCUACAAGGGACAGAUAGCUGUCCGUGACCUGGGUCGGACGACAUGCACACACCACAAAGGAAAUAUUUUAGACUGGGUUUGUGAGACAUGCUGUGAUGCAAUAUGUGCUAAGUGUGUAUCGUCUUUACACAAGGGCCAUGACAUCGUUCACCUGAGCGAAACUACUGCUGACAACAAACGGAAGAUAAAAAUAUUCAUUGAUGAAGUCGGCCAGAAAGAGUUGAGACAAAUUCAACAGGAAAUAAUUUCUACCCGGGAAAGUCUUGAAAAUGAUUUGAGUCAUUUUGAGAGUGUGAGAAGAGAAAUGAAAGAGCAAGGUGAAACACUAAAGGAAUAUAUUGAUGUUUUGAUGGCCCGAACGCUUUCUCACAUUAAACAACUAGAAGAUGAAAAUGCUAACCUUCUCAAGAAUUACAGGAUAGAUCUCGAACAGAAACUUGCUGAACUAAAGGACCAACUGAAACAUUGUAAUGAAGCCCUUAAAACUGGCACAGAUAUCCAGGUGUUUGACUUUGUCUUUAGACUACAGACCAACAUUACACUACAUGCAGCACCCAUCCUUGCUUCCGCCGUGUUCAGCCCUAAUGUCAAGAGCAAAGUAAUGCUGGAGCAGGCAUAUGGAAAAGUAAUCGUUGACAAAUCUGGACAAAGUGAAGAUCAGUCUACAUGUCAACAGGAUAUCGACUCUGACCAAUCACAAGAAACACCAGAUCAUCAAGUUCAAGUUCCUCCACUGCAACAAUCCAAGAAGGAGAGUCCACAGAUGAAAAUCAAUCAGCUACCACUGUCCGCACUUCUGGCACAGAGUACAGUGCUUUCAGAAUCGAUAGUUUCUUCGGAAAUUGAGUCUAUCUGCCCAACUUGUAAUGAUGGUGCAUGGACGAGUGGACGGAUAAGUAACAUUGUGACACACCUGACCAGUCAAGGAGGCGUACAUCAGAAGAUACAGAGUCAUGUUCCGGUUACAGAUAUCUGUAUUUCCCCCUCUACACACAACCUCUGGGCAUGCUCUAACAAAGAAUACAAUGUCAUGGAGUUGACAUUAGGUACACUGAUCAGUAGGUUCAAAACCACAGAUGAACCUAGAUGUCUGUGUGUUACUAAAGAUGACUGUGUCCUUGUUGGGUCAAAACACAAAAUCACUGAGUACACUAAGGAAGGGAAGAAAGGCCUCGUCAGCAGAACAUACCUGUAUUUCAUGUGGAAUCCAUUGCUAAAGUCACCAUGGCGGAUGUCACAAUGUCCAGUCAGCAAGAAUAUUGCAGCAGUUGACAUGGAUCUGGCAGAUGAUGGCGGUAAGGGAGAACCAGCUGUUAUAGUCCUGAACAAACGUCUAAAAGAAUUAUUCAGGUAUGGACGACCAAACCACAUCAUCAAGUGUGAAUCAGGAAAGUUUUGUGCCGCGGAUGUAGCUUACGAUAGCUUGGGACAGCUGGUGAUUGCUGACACUGUCAACAGCCUACACCUACUUAGCGGUGAUGGACAGUACCUGCGAAUGCUGCAUACGGACAUAGCAAGGCCAUGGGUUCUUUGUGUGGACAGGGAAGGAGUUCUGUGGGCAGGGUUUGGCAGAUUCAGAGUUGAGAAAGUGAAACGCCUACUGUACACCAAUUUUUAAAUCAAGACACGUGACACAUCGUAACAAUCGUACAACUACUGUAUAACUGUCCCAUGAUUUGGAUGGGAAGACGGAUAUGUCAGGAACAUAUACCAUGUCAGAGAAGAAAGGUUUGUCGUGAGAACCAAUUUCUCUUUGAGAGUACGUGGAUAGAAUUGAAAGGCCAUCGUAGGUGGAAUCGAGAUUUUAUCCAGGAGCUAGAUUCUGACAUUCUGACAUUUUCCCCUUUUUUUAUUGCUUACGCGGAUCACCUUUGUGCGGAUACUUUUCCUGGUUUAGAACGCCGCCUGGCGCGAGUAGACGUUUGAGAAAAUGAAUUCCCAAAUGGGAAAAUCCAUUCUGAAGUUGUUCUCAAGUCGUUCUCAACUUCUUGAGUAUUCUAAUACUGACAACACAUGAUAAUGAAUUUAUCAUGCCACCGUUUAUAUAAGAUAGUACAUUUUGUAGUGCAUAGCGAUGAUGAAGAGCUUUACCAUGUGCGAUUUACAGAUUGAUUUACUUAUUCUUUGAUAUCUAAUCAUCUCAUUUACUCUUAUUCCCUUUCAUACAUUGUAGAGAUUUAUUUUUACCAAGAAAAUAUUUUGUGAAGUUUCUGUUAAUUGUGAACGACCUGUUCGUCUACUUUUGAAUGGAAUAUUUAGAGAGAUGUAGCCUGGUGGACCAGGAAUGUCAAUAAGACCAUAAAGUCCGAAUGCAAACAAAAAAUGAAAAGAAAUCAAUAUUUUUUUGAUCGACUGAAACUAAAAACAAAGCAUAUACAUUUCCCUUUGAUCGACUUUUGUCUUUUGGUGAGGUAUCUUAAACUUGAUGAUGUCAUAGCAUGCUAUAUAGUAUAAAUUAGUGACCUCCAGUUAUUUAAAUUUUGUCCGUGUGAUCUCAACUACUCGAUAAAUCUAAAACAUUUACAAAAUAAGACGAGGUAAAAUUACUAAAAUAUAUCAGAGUAUUUCCCCUUUGAUCACCAGGAUAGGGUAGUGAAGUAUUAUAAGGAAAUGAGGAGAGAACAUUUAUACCAGAGUAUGAAAAGACUUCCUUAAGAGACCGGCUUUAGUAAUGCAUACAAAUAUCAAUAACAUUUAUCAUACGCACAUUUCCCCAUUUUAGUUCUAAGUCAUGUCAUAUCUUCAUUGUUUUUAAAUGGCGACAAAAGAGUAUGCUGGUAUAGAUAUAUUGUAUAUAUAUACACCGAUCACAUUAAGUCAUUAAAGACACUUCUAAGUUGUAAAAAGCGCACAAAGCGUAAUGGAACAAGUGUUGGUAAUGAAUAGGUAUGUAUUAUUAAUACUUGUAUUCUUGUAUUUUAAGAAGUGUAUGUAAAUUUCUGAAAUGCAUAGGACCAUAAUUAUAAAGGUUUCAAAUUGAAGUUUUCACUUUAAACCAAUAACAAAAAAAAAUGUUUAGCUGAUAUUAUAUAAUGACGACACAAUCUAUAUUUUAUAUCUAUGAUAUGAAAGUAUAGGCGUCAUAACGAUUGUUUAUGAUAUAUUUUGUAACUAAAUUUACAUAAUCUCACUUAAGUGGGUAAAUCGAUUACAACCAAUCUUGAAGGUCUUAAUUGAUCUGCUAUGUAUUUUAUGUAUUCCAUCUGCUUCAACGUACAUUUUAAUCCCUUAAAACCAUCUUGGCUUGCCUAUGAAACUCCCUUAAUACAUUACAAAUAAACACCUAAAGACAGCUCAAGUACCGGGACACCUAUAGUCUUGUUCUUCCUGAAAUGUUUAAGAGUUUUUUAUGUUAACAUUCCCUUUUUUCAUAUUUAUAAUGUAUCUUUUUUAAAACGUUUAAUUUAAAAAUACUAAAUAGAAUCAACUCGUUAGCAAUAAUUAUUACCAGGAUCAUCUACUGUUGAACAUCACGUUAUAGAAAAGCCUAACAAAGAUACAUUAGAACGUAACUCAUGCGUUAUAAAACGAUUUUUGUCAAAAGUUGAUAAUAACAUCAGAAGCGAAUGUACCGGUUUAGCAAGCUAUAGCCAGGACCUGUUUAAGUCGGAGUCACGCUCCAUGGAUUUCGAACAUAAAUAGGUUUAAUAUCAGUCCUGUUAUCGUCUAGAACAUGUUUAUAGUUUAAUAGACUGCCGAGAUAACCCUACAUACGCCAUAAAUGUCAGCUGUUCAGGCUAAAUGACAGUUAAUGUGUAUGUGAGGAUUGUCUUAUACCCAUAAAAAUCGUCUGCUUCGUUUUCUAGCUUACUUUCAUACAACAUAAAAAUGGGUUUGAGAUAAUGAUAUUUCGAACUAUAUACUCGCUUAUCAUAAAAUAAAGCUUGCGUGUUUACAUACAAUCAAAAUAUUCAAGGGAAAGAUUUGAAUAAAAAAAAAAGUUGAUAAUAAAUUCUACAUAAUUAAAGUUGUUUGAUGUGUUAUAUUUGUUUUAACAUAUACACAUUAUUUUGUAUUCUUGUUCAGGCGUAAGAAGUCACCUGUCCGACCUCGGGGGCUUUUCAGGCACUACGGUGAUCGGAUUUUUUCCAUGUAUUCCGGUUAAGUUCCACAUUCAUCUCAAUCUGUGCUUCAAUCUGUGCCAACAAGAAUGAUAAAUAUAAGUUUAAAACUGGGUCCAAAAAUCAUGAAACCAUUCUCGCGCUCAAGCAUGGAUUUUGUUCUCAAGCCCUAUUUGUUCUGGUUAUGAAUUGAUAAAAAACAGUUCUCAUUUUGUCAAUGACUUGGAACAAAAUUGAAAUAACUUGAAGCCAAAUACGGUUUUCAAUGUCUAUAUUUGUUAUGUGUUUUCUUUUUGUUCGUUUUGCAUGAUUAUUGAGUUACAAUAAAAUUGGUUUGAGCACAGAAUCCGUGCUUGAGCAUGAUAACCGUUUUAUGGAUACUGGCCCUGGUCUCAUAAUUGCUGUAUCGAAACAGGCCUUUAAGAAAUAUCAUUUGUUAACUCCGUCUUAAUACGAACUGUAUCGCACCAGAAGACUCGGUACAUUUCUUUGUUUAUUGUACUUACAACUCCG
RNAcentral lists this unclassified non-coding RNA (4948 nucleotides) under Mizuhopecten yessoensis (Yesso scallop). Its description in RNAcentral is "8-oxo-dGDP phosphatase NUDT18-like, transcript variant X2". The record is from RNAcentral. Lineage: Eukaryota; Metazoa; Mollusca; Bivalvia; Pectinida; Pectinidae.